This 474-nucleotide ribosomal RNA is filed under the name uncultured bacterium. RNAcentral's name for it is "partial 16S ribosomal RNA". It matches the Rfam family "Bacterial small subunit ribosomal RNA", at positions 30 to 523 of the family's 1533-position model. The record is from RNAcentral.
AUUGAACGCUGGCGGCGUGCUUAACACAUGCAAGUCGAGCGAUGAAGCACCUUCGGGUGUGGAUUAGCGGCGAACGGGUGAGGAACACGUGAGGAAUCUGCCUUCCACUCUGGGAUAACUCCGGGAAACCGGGGCUAAUACCGGAUAUUUUCAACUGGCGGCAUCGCCGGUUGAAGAAAGUUUUUCGGUGGAAGAUGACCUCGCGGCCUAUCAGCUUGUUGGUGAGGUAAAGGCUCACCAAGGCGACGACGGGUAGCUGGUCUGAGAGGAUGAUCAGCCACAUGGGGACUGAGACACGGCCCUAACACCUACGGGUGGCAGCAGUUGGGAAUAUUGCGCAAUGGACGACAGUCUGACGCAGCGACGCCGCGUGAAGGAUGAAGGCUUUCGGGUCGUAACUUCUUUUGUAAGGGACGAUUGUGACGGUACCUUACGAAUAAGGGCCUGCUAACUACGUGCCAGCCGCCGCCGUAA